Molecule: ribosomal RNA, 187 nt
Filed under: uncultured Streptococcaceae bacterium
Lineage: Bacteria; Bacillati; Bacillota; Bacilli; Lactobacillales; Streptococcaceae
Description: partial 16S ribosomal RNA
Rfam family: Bacterial small subunit ribosomal RNA
Source: RNAcentral
GGAAACGAUAGCUAAUACCGCAUAAUAGUAGAUGUUGCAUGACAUUUGCUUAAAAGGUGCAAUUGCAUCACUACCAGAUGGACCUGCGUUGUAUUAGCUAGUUGGUGGGGUAACGGCUCACCAAGGCGACGAUACAUAGCCGACCUGAGAGGGUGAUCGGCCACACUGGGACUGAGACACGGCCCAG